This 497-nucleotide ribosomal RNA is filed under the name uncultured bacterium. RNAcentral describes it as "partial 16S ribosomal RNA". It matches the Rfam family "Bacterial small subunit ribosomal RNA", at positions 29 to 507 of the family's 1533-position model. The record is from RNAcentral.
ACGAACGCUGGCGGCGUGCCUAAUACAUGCCAGUCGCGCGGACGAUUCGAAAGCUUGCUUUUGAAUCGUUAGCGGCGGACGGGUGAGUAACACGUGGGCAACCUGCCCUGUAGACGGGGAUAACACCGAGAAAUCGGUGCUAAUACCGGAUAACACGAAAUGUCGCAUGACGUUUCGUUGAAAGGCGGCGCAAGCUGCCGCUACAGGAUGGGCCCGCGGCGCAUUAGCUAGUUGGUGAGGUAACGGCUCACCAAGGCGACGAUGCGUAGCCGACCUGAGAGGGUGAUCGGCCACACUGGGACUGAGACACGGCCCAGACUCCUACGGGAGGCAGCAGUAGGGAAUCUUCCGCAAUGGACGAAAGUCUGACGGAGCAACGCCGCGUGAGCGAAGAAGGCCUUCGGGUCGUAAAGCUCUGUUGUUAGGGAAGAACAAGUAACGUAGUAACUGACGUUACUAUGACGGUACCUAACGAGAAAGCCACGGCUAACUACGUG